This 465-nucleotide ribosomal RNA is filed under the name Vreelandella stevensii. Its description in RNAcentral is "partial 16S ribosomal RNA". It matches the Rfam family "Bacterial small subunit ribosomal RNA", at positions 338 to 795 of the family's 1533-position model. The record is from RNAcentral. Lineage: Bacteria; Pseudomonadati; Pseudomonadota; Gammaproteobacteria; Oceanospirillales; Halomonadaceae.
CCUACGGGGGGCAGCAGUGGGGAAUAUUGGACAAUGGGGGCAACCCUGAUCCAGCUAUGCCGCGUGUGUGAAGAAGGCCCUCGGGUUGUAAAGCACUUUCAGUGAGGAAGAACGCCUGGUGGUUAAUACCCAUCAGGAAAGACAUCACUCACAGAAGAAGCACCGGCUAACUCCGUGCCAGCAGCCGCGGUAAUACGGAGGGUGCGAGCGUUAAUCGGAAUUACUGGGCGUAAAGCGCGCGUAGGUGGCUUGAUAAGCCGGUUGUGAAAGCCCCGGGCUCAACCUGGGAACGGCAUCCGGAACUGUCAAGCUAGAGUGCAGGAGAGGAAGGUAGAAUUCCCGGUGUAGCGGUGAAAUGCGUAGAGAUCGGGAGGAAUACCAGUGGCGAAGGCGGCCUUCUGGACUGACACUGACACUGAGGUGCGAAAGCGUGGGUAGCAAACAGGAUUAGAUACCCUUGUAGUC